GUCGGGGUGGCGGAAUUGGCAGACGCGCACGUUUGAGGGGCGUGUGUCUUCGGACGUAGGGGUUCAAGUCCCCUUCUCGACACCA
Molecule: transfer RNA, 85 nt
Filed under: Alicyclobacillaceae bacterium
Lineage: Bacteria; Bacillati; Bacillota; Bacilli; Caryophanales; Alicyclobacillaceae
Description: tRNA-Leu
Rfam family: tRNA
About the family: Transfer RNA (tRNA) molecules are approximately 80 nucleotides in length. Their secondary structure includes four short double-helical elements and three loops (D, anti-codon, and T loops).
Source: RNAcentral